UCAUCUGUCUAGAGCAGAUACUAAUCUAAUUGUGACAGACCCACAUAUGGCAGCUCAGAAUCAUCUGUUAUCGCAAACCCAACUACAUCAUUAAUGGUCUCUCAAGGUAAGUCAUGAGGAAUUUGAAGCAUAUAAAACGAUAUAAGUUGUCCCAAUAUCAUAAA
Molecule: non-coding RNA, 164 nt
Organism: Populus trichocarpa (black cottonwood)
Lineage: Eukaryota; Viridiplantae; Streptophyta; Magnoliopsida; Malpighiales; Salicaceae
Source: Rfam